UCUCCGUUGGUGAACCUGCGGAGGGAUCAUUAUAGAGUUUUCUAAACUCCCAACCCUUUGUGAACUUACCUUUGUUGCCUCGGCGGGGCCUACCCGGUACCGACCCCUUUUGGGCGAAGUUACCCUGUAGCGCCCCGCCGGUGGAUUUUCAAACUCUUGUUAUUUUUAGUAAUCUGAGCGUCUUAUUUUAAAUAAGUCAAAACUUUCAACAACGGAUCUCUUGGUUCUGGCAUCGAUGAAGACGCAGC
Molecule: unclassified non-coding RNA, 248 nt
Filed under: uncultured fungus
Lineage: Eukaryota; Fungi
Description: sequence contains ITS1, 5.8S rRNA gene
Rfam family: 5.8S ribosomal RNA (bases 201-248)
Source: RNAcentral